GGUCUAAUAGUGUAGUGGUUAGCACAUGGGAUUUUGAUAACCGUGCGUUGGCUGUAAAGUUUGUUCUUCCCAUAACCCAGGUUCGAGUCCUGGUUAGACCU
Non-coding RNA from Stygiomarasmius scandens, 101 nucleotides. NCBI's taxonomy places the organism in Eukaryota, Fungi, Basidiomycota, Agaricomycetes, Agaricales, Campanellaceae. The record is from the annotation of a GenBank genome assembly.